GACGAGCGCUGGCGGCGUGCUUAACACAUGCAAGUCGAACGGUGAAGGGGUCUGCUUUUGUGGGCCCUGGAUGAGUGGCGAACGGGUGAGUAACACGUGAGUAACCUGCCCCCUUCUUCUGGAUAACCGCAUGAAAGUGUGGCUAAUACGGGAUAUUCUGGGUCUGUCGCAUGAUGGGUCUGGGAAAGAUUGCGCCUUUGGGUGUUUUUGGUGGGGGAUGGGCUCGCCGCCUAUCAGCUUGUUGGUGGGGUGAUGGCCUACCAAGGCGGUGACGGGUAGCCGGCCUGAGGGGGUGGACGGUCACACUGGGACUGAGACACGGCCCAGACUCCUACGGGAGGCAGCAGUGGGGAAUAUUGCACAAUGGGCGCAAGCCUGAUGCAGCGACGCCGCGUGAGGGAUGGAGGCCUUCGGGUUGUAAACCUCUUUCGCCAGUGAAGCAGGCCUGCUCCUUGUGGGUGGGUUGACGGUAGCUGGAGAAGAAGCGCCGGCUAACUACGUG
This 502-nucleotide ribosomal RNA is filed under the name uncultured bacterium. RNAcentral describes it as "partial 16S ribosomal RNA". It matches the Rfam family "Bacterial small subunit ribosomal RNA", at positions 28 to 507 of the family's 1533-position model. The record is from RNAcentral.